GAUGAACGCUGGCGGCGUGCCUAAUACAUGCAAGUCGAGCGCACAGACGAGGUGCUUGUUCCUCUGACGUUAGCGGCGGACGGGUGAGUAACACGUGGAUAACCUACCUUUAAGCCUGGGAUAACUUCGGGAAACCGGUGCUAAUACCGGAUAAUAUAUUUAACCGCAUGGUUCAAUAGUGAAAGACGGUUUUGCUGUACCUUAUAGAUAGAUCCGCGCCGAUUUAGCUAGUUGGUAAGGUAACGGCUUACCAAGCCAAGGAUCAGUAGCCGACCUGGGAGGGUAAUGGGCCACACUGGAACGAGAACAGGGUCCAGACUCCUACGGGAGGCGGAAGAAGGGAAUCUUCCGCAAUGGGCGAAGGCCUAACGGGGCAACGCCGCGGGAGGAAGGAAGGUUUUCGAAUGUUAAAACUCUGUGAUAAAGGAAAAACAAAUGUGUAAGUAACUGUGCACGACUUGACGGUACCUAAUCAGAAAGCCACGGCUAACUACGUG
Molecule: ribosomal RNA, 497 nt
Filed under: uncultured bacterium
Lineage: Bacteria
Description: partial 16S ribosomal RNA
Rfam family: Bacterial small subunit ribosomal RNA
Source: RNAcentral